GCCGGGUGUGGUGGCUCACACCUGUAAUCCUAGCACUUUGGGAGGCUGAGGUGGGUGGAUCACUUGAGGCCAGGAGUUCUAGAGUAGCCUGGCUAACAUGGUGAAACCUCAUCUCUA
Callithrix jacchus (white-tufted-ear marmoset) is the source of this 117-nucleotide unclassified non-coding RNA. It matches the Rfam family "Metazoan signal recognition particle RNA". From Rfam's summary of the family: The signal recognition particle (SRP) is a universally conserved ribonucleoprotein. It is involved in the co-translational targeting of proteins to membranes. Lineage: Eukaryota; Metazoa; Chordata; Mammalia; Primates; Cebidae. The record is from Ensembl.